This 65-nucleotide transfer RNA is filed under the name Corydalus cornutus (eastern dobsonfly). RNAcentral describes it as "tRNA-Leu". The record is from RNAcentral. Lineage: Eukaryota; Metazoa; Arthropoda; Insecta; Megaloptera; Corydalidae. RNAcentral also lists the same sequence under 3 other names.
UCUAAUAUGGCAGAUUAGUGCCAUGGAUUUAAGCUCCAUAAAUAAAGAUUUUUCUUUUAUUAGAA